RNAcentral lists this ribosomal RNA (435 nucleotides) under uncultured archaeon. RNAcentral's name for it is "bacterial SSU rRNA". It matches the Rfam family "Archaeal small subunit ribosomal RNA", at positions 474 to 903 of the family's 1478-position model. The record is from RNAcentral.
AACCAGCUCUACAAGUGGUCGGGAUGAUUAUUGGGCUUAAAGUGUCCGUAGCCGGUUUAGUAAGUUCCUGGUAAAAUCGGGUAGCUUAACUAUCUGUAUGCUAGGAAUACUGCUAUACUAGAGGGCGGGAGAGGUCUGAGGUACUACAGGGGUAGGGGUGAAAUCCUAUAAUCCUUGUAGAACCACCAGUGGCGAAGGCGUCAGACUGGAACGCGCCUGACGGUGAGGGACGAAAGCCAGGGGGAGCGAACCGGAUUAGACGUACCCGGGUAGUCCUGGCCGUAAACGAUGCAUACUAGGUGAUGGCACGGCCAUGAGCCGUGUCAGUGCCGUAGGGAACCGUUAAGUGUGCCGCCGUGGGAACGUACGGUCGCAAGGACUAAAACUUAAAGGAAGUGGCGGGGGAGCACCACGAAGGGGUGAAGCCUGCGGUUC